This is an RNA transcript of Eublepharis macularius, 1562 nucleotides long. It is a transcript of the gene named protein O-mannose kinase, with no coding region annotated. The record is from RefSeq and is a predicted model, not a curated record. The transcript has 4 exons. Lineage: Eukaryota; Metazoa; Chordata; Lepidosauria; Squamata; Eublepharidae.
UUCGGCGCCUUUCUGUGUCUCGGCGCUUAAGGGAGCCCCGGUGAAGCCCGGCGAGCCCCGCGGAGCGCGGACUUCCAGAGCGCGUGAGUUGCAGCGGAUCCCUCAGCAGAGCCCCUCCAGCCUUAAGGCCGCUGGCACCAGAUCUGAGCGGGAGACGCAGCAACUCCGAUCUUUUACAGAAAAUGAAUGACAACCGCAUCAUGGCGAAGAAACCCCACCACGUGAUAGCUGACCUCGUGCAAAGGCUGACGCCGCCCGUUCUGCUUCUGCUCCUGGCUGUACUGCUGGUGAACCUGGCCCUCUACCAACACCUCAGCAAGGUCUCUGUUCCCUCUGGAAAGGCAAAGGUGGGAUACGAUGUUUGUCCACACGGCUACUUCAGAUUAGGAACUCUGAAGAAUUGUUUGCCGUGGUUGUCUUGCGAGGCCAUAAGAAGAGAAGUUCACAAAUUGAAACGUGUGGGUGAAGGAGCUGUGAAAAAGGUCUUUCUUUCUGAGUGGAAGGAAAACAAAGUUGCUCUUUCGCAGUUAACAACGCCGGAGCUGCAGGAGGACUUUCUUCAUGGGCUGCGGAUGCUGAAAUCUCUGCAGGGCAAGCAGGUGGUCAAACUUCUUGGCUUUUGUGAGGAGGAUUUCCUGAUUCUAACGGAGUACCACCCCUUCGGCUCCUUGAAGAAUCUGAAUCAGAUACUGAACUUUCCAAAAUAUAAGGACUCCAACACUUGGCAUCGUAGGUUCCUGCUGGCCAUAGAUUAUGUGAGCAUCAUCCAUUAUCUGCACAACAGUCCUCUGGGCACAUUUGUGAUGUGUGAUUCCAGUGACUUGGAUAAAGUACUUUCACAGUAUUUACUAACCAGCGACUUCCAUGUUGUUGUGAAUGACUUGGAUGCCUUGCCUCUGGUGAACAGGAGUGCUGGUGAACUGGUCAAGUGCGGCCAUCAGGAGCUUCAGGAGCAAGUGCAGAAGAGGGCAACCAAAAUUAUUAAGGUGUUGGAGCACCUCUCCUAUGAGAAAAGCCUGGGUGUCAGUUCUAGGAUUGGCAGUCCAUGACAGAGAGAUCCUCACAGCAAGUACUCCAGGGUCUUGGUUGAAAAGGUUUUAUUAUAGAGAUCCAUUAAGUUCACAGGUCCUUCAAAGAUGCAUCGGAAUUGGCAGGAAUGAGAAUACAAGCUAAGGCACUUUGAUAUAAGGUUGCUAUGAAAAUGAAGGUCAGCAGCCAAUCUUGCCAGUAUCUCAGGAGCCACAAUCCAGUAUCCUUUUCCCACCAGUGACCAGCCUAGAGCCCUCCCUCGUCUCCCCUCUGCCCCGGCAACUGAAGUCCAAUAGGAAGUGGACUGAAAAGGAAGAUUCCAUUAGUUGUUGUGGCUAAUAAAGUCCUCUGUGUGUUUGUCUCAUUUAAAAUCACCCUAACCAGCGGCCAGUGCUACACAGCAACAUACGAAAUUACCCUCUCCUAAGGACGAUCCUUGCUCUACGGCACUCACAGUAUCACUCUGAAGGGAAAGUCACUUUCAAGGGUGUCAGACACAGAAAGGAAUCUGUGAUCAAAUAUUUGGAUGUAAA